CACGUAGGGUGCGAGCGUUGUCCGGAAUUAUUGGGCGUAAAGAGCUCGUAGGCGGUGUGUCGCGUCGGCCGUGAAAACCUGCAGCUUAACUGUGGGCGUGCGGUCGAUACGGGCAUCACUGGAGUUCGGCAGGGGAGACUGGAAUUCCUGGUGUAGCGGUGGAAUGCGCAGAUAUCAGGAGGAACACCGGUGGCGAAGGCGGGUCUCUGGGCCGAUACUGACGCUGAGGAGCGAAAGCGUGGGGAGCGAACAGG
Molecule: ribosomal RNA, 254 nt
Filed under: uncultured bacterium
Lineage: Bacteria
Description: partial 16S ribosomal RNA
Rfam family: Bacterial small subunit ribosomal RNA
Source: RNAcentral